AUUGUUACAAUUAUCAUACUUCAAGUAAUCAACACCCCAGGAAGCAAAAGUUUUUGCGUCUUGUUCUUCGUGUCCUAAUGAACCUGGCAUUUGUUUACUACACGUCUGAGUCCCAGCAUCAGAAUAAACUCCAAGUUUUAAUCCUUUGCCGUGAACAUAAUCUGCCAGUGCUUUAAUCCCAGAAGGAAAAGUUGAACCUUUAGCAACCAUAUUUCCCUGCGAGUCUCUAUUGGCUUCGGCCCAACAGUCAUCUAUAUUGAUGUACUCAUAUCCAAGAGAAGCAAGUCCAGUAUGUACCAUUGCAUCAGCUGUCCCCUUUAUUAUGUUCUCAUCUAUAUUGCAACCAAAAUGAUUCCAGCUGCUCCAUCCCAUUUGCGGAGUUUGGCCAAGGCCAUUGCCCAAGAGGUUUCUCCGGUUGAAUUCAUUUACACUUAAAUUUGAAUUAACGAUGAGAUUUCGUGGCUGCAGACGAGCAUAUACCGUAGCCAGAGACAAACACAAGCAGCACCACAACAGAAGUGGUGAAGUUGAUGACAUCGUUUUUCCGAUAGGCUUUAGAGCUUUGGCUACGAACAAUAUUUAAAUGUUCAAGAGAGCCCCUUUUAAGUGAAAGGGGAAGCAAAAA
RNAcentral lists this unclassified non-coding RNA (625 nucleotides) under Hevea brasiliensis (rubber tree). The record is from RNAcentral. Lineage: Eukaryota; Viridiplantae; Streptophyta; Magnoliopsida; Malpighiales; Euphorbiaceae.